GAUGUACUCCCUCCGUCCCAAAAUUCUGUCUUAGAUUUGUCUAGAUACAGAUGUAUCUAAUACUGUGACUUGAUACAUCCGUUUCUGGAAAAAUGUAAGACAAGAAUUUUGGGACGACGGGAGUAGUAA
This is a non-coding RNA of Triticum aestivum (bread wheat), 129 nucleotides long. NCBI's taxonomy places the organism in Eukaryota, Viridiplantae, Streptophyta, Magnoliopsida, Poales, Poaceae. The record is from Rfam.